GACGAACGCUGGCGGCGUGCUUAACACAUGCAAGUCGAACGGAAAGGCCUGCUUUCCCUUGUGGAUUGCGGGUACUCGAGUGGCGAACGGGUGAGUAACACGUGAGUGAUCUGCCCCCAACUUGGGUAUAAGCCUGGGAAACUGGGUCUAAUUCCCGAUAGGACUGCAGGGUAGUGCCUGUGGUGGAAAACGAUUUUCUAGUGGUUGGGGAUGAGCUCGCGGCCUAUCAGCUUGUUGGUGGGGUAAUGGCCUACCAAGGCGGCGACGGGUAGCCGGCCUGAGAGGGUGGACGGCCACAGUGGGACUGAGAUACGGCCCAGACUCCUACGGGAGGCAGCAGUGGGGAAUAUUGCACAAUGGGCGGAAGCCUGAUGCAGCGACGCCGCGUGGGGGAUGACGGCCUUCGGGUUGUAAACUCCUUUCGACCGCGAGGAAGCCACCUGGUUGGAAGGGUGGUGACGGUAGUGGUAGAAGAAGCACCGGCUAACUACGUG
RNAcentral lists this ribosomal RNA (494 nucleotides) under uncultured bacterium. RNAcentral's name for it is "partial 16S ribosomal RNA". It matches the Rfam family "Bacterial small subunit ribosomal RNA", at positions 28 to 507 of the family's 1533-position model. The record is from RNAcentral.